UAGGAGCCCCGGGGGGCCGCAGAGAAAUGGCCCAGGCGACUGUUUAGCAAAAACACAGCACUAUGCAAACCUCUAAGGGGAAGUAUAUGGUGUGACGCCUGCCCAAUGCCAAAAGGUUAAAGGGAUAUGUCAGCUGCAAAGCGAAGCAUUGAACCUAAGCCCUGGUGAAUGGCCGCCGUAACUAUAACGGUGCUAAGGUAGCGAAAUUCCUUGUCGGGUAAGUUCCGACCUGCACGAAUGGUGUAACGAUCUGGGCACUGUCUCAACGAAAGACUCGGUGAAAUUGUAGUAGCAGUGAAGAUGCUGUUUACCCGCGAAAGGACGAAAAGACCCCGUGAACCUUUACUGUACUUUGGUAUUGAUUUUUGGUUUGUUAUGUGUAGGAUAGCCAGGAGACUAGGAACACUCUUCUUCAGGAGAGUGGGAGUCAACGUUGAAAUACUGGUCUUAACAAGCUGGGAAUCUAACAUUAUUCCAUGAAUCUGGAAGAUGGACAUUGCCAGACGGGCAGUUUUACUGGGGCGGUAUCCUCCUAAAAAGUAACGGAGGAGCCCAAAGCUUAUUUCAUCGUGGUUGGCAAUCACGAGUAGAGCGUAAAGGUAUAAGAUAGGUUGACUGCAAGACCAACAAGUCGAGCAGAGACGAAAGUCGGGCUUAGUGAUCCGGCGGUGGAAAGUGGAAUCGCCGUCGCUUAACGGAUAAAAGGUACUCCGGGGAUAACAGGCUGAUCGCCACCAAGAGUUCAUAUCGACGUGGCGGUUUGGCACCUCGAUGUCGGCUCAUCGCAUCCUGGGGCUGGAGAAGGUCCCAAGGGUUUGGCUGUUCGCCAAUUAAAGCGGUACGCGAGCUGGGUUCAAAACGUCGUGAGACAGUUUGGUCUCUAUCCUUCGUGGGCGCAGGAUACUUGAGAGGAGCUGUUCCUAGUACGAGAGGACCGGAAUGGACGAACCAAUGGUGUGUCGGUUGUUUUGCCAAGAGCAUAGCCGAGUAGCUACGUUCGGAAAGGAUAAGCA
Molecule: ribosomal RNA, 1013 nt
Filed under: Chlamydia trachomatis
Lineage: Bacteria; Pseudomonadati; Chlamydiota; Chlamydiia; Chlamydiales; Chlamydiaceae
Description: partial 23S ribosomal RNA
Rfam family: Bacterial large subunit ribosomal RNA
Source: RNAcentral